Panicum virgatum (switchgrass) is the source of this 1095-nucleotide long non-coding RNA. RefSeq lists it as uncharacterized. Lineage: Eukaryota; Viridiplantae; Streptophyta; Magnoliopsida; Poales; Poaceae. The transcript has 2 exons. The record is from RefSeq and is a predicted model, not a curated record.
UGCUAAACACGAUUUGAAGAUUCAAAUUUGGUCAAAAUUAUCAAGCCACACGUGUAGCUCUCUGCUCUUUCUCCCGUGCGUCGUCGCCGUGGUCAAGUUGGCCACGAACACCGCUCGCGCGCGCUCACGACACGCGUCCCCGCCCAUGCCGUCCUUGUCUCGCUCGUAGGCCAGCACGCUCCUCUCCCGAACCCUCUCCAUGCUGCCUGAGCCGCCCACGCCUCUCCCUCUCCCUCUCACGCGAGCGCCGCUUGCCAUGGCCGCCAUUAGCGUCGCCGCUCGUCGGUCUCCCACGGAGCUCCCUUCUCCACCCUUCCUCGCGCCCAAAUGACCCCGUAGCUAGCUUCCUUGGCCUCCACCGGUGCUCCCCGACCCGCUUGCCGCCAUCCAGAGCUGCCGGACCGCCGCCGCCGCGGUCCAGACCACCGCUAUCCGCCCCCUCUCCGUGGAGCCACCACUGCAGGCCACCAUCUCGAGCUCCAAGACCUUCUAGAGGUAGUCCUCGGUCCCCUCUCGCUUUUCCCCAGUGGGGCCCCCACCGCCGGAGCCUCUCCUCGCCGGGAAAAGCCACGCCCUUCCUCCUCUGUUCCUCACCCGACCAAGGACCCGCGCUGAGAAGAAACAGAAAUCCAGGGGCCUAGAUGCAAAAGUACGAUAAAUGAACCACGUGAGGGAUGUGACGUUGAAGCCGAGCCAGAAGACGGUGAAUUGUGGACACAUCUAGAAGAUGGAUGGAUCCCGAUGUGCAUGACCGAAGGCAGAUGCUCGCCAAGCGAGUAUCAUCUAACUAACACUGACUCAGUGUUAAUCCCAGGCAAGCCCCGGUGCAUGUCCUAGUAUUUUAAAAUUAUGACAUCCAUAUAUGUUGCUAGUACUUAUGCAUUACGUUUUAGGAGUUGAUUUGAAACCUAGUUGCAUGAUCCGUAGUUCCUUGAGUUGUACUAGUAUGUAUAGGGCGAUAGAAACGCUAUGCUUAAUAAGUAUCGAUAGAUGUCGAGUGACUGCUUGUCACUCGCGAGAUAUAGGAUGUUUAGAAGACGAGUAAUUUCCAGUUACUCGCGAGAUAUAAGUUAUAUGUAUAGUUAUGUUACAGUA